RNAcentral lists this ribosomal RNA (460 nucleotides) under uncultured bacterium. Its description in RNAcentral is "partial 16S ribosomal RNA". It matches the Rfam family "Bacterial small subunit ribosomal RNA", at positions 338 to 795 of the family's 1533-position model. The record is from RNAcentral.
CCUACGGGAGGCAGCAGUGAGGAAUAUUGGUCAAUGGGCGCGAGCCUGAACCAGCCACGUAGCGUGAAGGAUGACUGCCCUACGGGUUGUAAACUUCUUUUAUAAAGGAAUAAAGUGAGGCACGUGUGCCUUUUUGUAUGUACUUUAUGAAUAAGGAUCGGCUACAUCCGUGCCAGCAGCCGCGGUAAUACGGAGGAUACGAGCGUUAUCCGGAUUUAUUGGGUUUAAAGGGAGCGUAGAGGGGUUGUUAAGUCAGUUGUGAAAGUUUGCGGCUCAACCCUAAAAUUGCAAUUGCUACUGGCAGCCUUGAGUACAGUUGAGGUAGGCGGAAUUCGGGGUGUAGCGGUGAAAUGCUUAGAUAUCACGAAGAACUCCGAUUGCGAAGGCAGCUUACUAAACUGCCACUGACAUUGAUGCUCGAAAGUGUGGGUAUCAAACAGGAUUAGAUACCCCAGUAGUC